CAAGAACGUCGUGCUUUAUUCAAUAGGAAACCUUUUCAGAAAGGUAGAACGUCCCUUUCUCAGAAAGGCCGUCCUCGCCUCUCUCUUCUUGGUCUAUCAUUUAAUUGGGGCGCCCCAGAAAGUCGCAGGCCCUUUGGCUAAUCCCUUGAUUCCCUAUUCGACUCACUCCAUUCUCAGACCCCGCCCCUUCGCUCCCACCCGCAACCUCCGCUCCAGCCAGAGCCCCCCGCAGGGAACAAGGAACGUGGGAAACAACACUAAUCCUGCGGGAGAACCAGCACCCGUGGCAAACCAGGACGCGCUCCCGCCUUCCCCCACGAAGGGACGGCGCGCAGUCCCCGCGGGCUCCCGGCCGCGCCGUCGGGGCAGCGGGCUCGGCCCCGCCCGCCCCGCACGCCGAGCGGCCGGGGUGGGGACUACAAGUCCCGGCGUGCCGCGCGCGCGCUCCCCCCUGGGGUUCCGGAUGGUGAGCGGCGAAGGUAAGGCGAGCUCGCAGAGGCAGCGGCGGCGGCGGCGGAGACGGAGAGAGGCAGGCAGGCAGGGCGAGGNNNNNNNNNNNNNNNNNNNNNNNNNNNNNNNNNNNNNNNNNNNNNNNNNNNNNNNNGGGCGGGCAGAGCGAGCCACCCGCCAGGCUGCGCUCAGCCCCGCUCGCAGCGGAGAGAGCAGAAGGCAGGAGGAGGGAGGGGAGGAGGAGGAGGGAGGGAGAGAGGGAAUCCAGCUACCACCACCCAAAGCCAGCGUCUGCUUUCUGUCCUCAUUUCCUUUUCCCACCCAGCUCGGAAAGCAGAGAAAGGCAGAGAGAGCGAGAGAUAGAGACAGUCAGAGAGACAGACAGACAGCCGGAGAGCGGGAGGGAGGAGGGCGGAGGAGGAGGAGCAGGAGGAGGACUACGCGGGGCGCGUUCCCUCCCAGCAGCCGGGCGCCCGCGUCGCUGCCGCCGCCGGAAGACAGACGCCCCCCAAAGCCCCUCGCCUGGCUCGGACCCACGGAGCCGGCAGCCCAGCACUCCGGAAGGAGCAUUAAGACCAAAAGGGAUUUCGCAGCUGCAGGACACAUGGCCCUGUCCUCAGAAGCCCCAGUCUGAGAUGAGAAGCACAGCCCUGGCCUUGGGAGCCCUCAAACCCAGAGGUGAGGUCUAGAACCCAGGCUGGGCGUGUGCUGAGGUUCAGGUGGGGAGCGGGUGGUGCUGGGUGCCUGGCCGGUGAUGGCUUCCUGAAGCAAAGGCUCGGGCUAGGGGGAGGUUGAAGGACGGGUGGUGAUUUGCCUAGGGGCCUGGAGAGCCAUCUUUGGUUGAAGGGGCGGAGGGGGGAGCCUGGAAGUGUCUGGCUUUCCCACAGGCCUGGGCAGCAAUAAACUGGAGUUCUGGGGCCCUUCUGGCUCCCCA
RNAcentral lists this long non-coding RNA (1384 nucleotides) under Vulpes vulpes (red fox). RNAcentral describes it as "lncRNA (ENSVVUG00000012168.1)". The record is from RNAcentral. Lineage: Eukaryota; Metazoa; Chordata; Mammalia; Carnivora; Canidae.